AGUGAACGCUGGCGGUAGGCCUAACACAUGCAAGUCGAACGGCAGCACAGUAAGAGCUUGCUCUUACGGGUGGCGAGUGGCGGACGGGUGAGGAAUACAUCGGACUCUACUUUUUCGUGGGGGAUAACGUAGGGAAACUUACGCUAAUACCGCAUACGACCUACGGGUGAAAGCAGGGGAUCUUCGGACCUUGCGCGAUUGAAUGAGCCGAUGUCGGAUUAGCUAGUUGGGUGGGUAAAGGCCCACCCAGGCGACGAUCCGUAGCUGGUCUGAGAGGAUGGUCGGCCACACUGGAACGGAGACACGGUCCAGGCUCCUACGGGAGGCAGCAGUGGGGAAUAUUGGACAAUGGGCGCAAGCCUGAUCCAGCCAUACCGCGUGGGUGAAGAAGGCCUUCGGUGUGUAAAGCCCUUUUGUUGGGAAAGAAAAGCAGCAGGUUAAUACCCCGCUGUUCUGACGGUACCCAAAGAAUAAGCACCGGCUAACUUCGUG
RNAcentral lists this ribosomal RNA (492 nucleotides) under uncultured bacterium. RNAcentral describes it as "partial 16S ribosomal RNA". It matches the Rfam family "Bacterial small subunit ribosomal RNA", at positions 29 to 507 of the family's 1533-position model. The record is from RNAcentral.